GACGAACGCUGGCGGCGUGCUUAACACAUGCAAGUCGAGCGAGGCCCCUCCUUCGGGAGGGUGUCCUAGCGGCGAACGGGUGAGUAACACGUGGGCAACCUGCCCUCAGCUCUGGGAUAACUCCGGGAAACCGGGGCUAAUACCGGAUACGACCUCCACGGACAUCUGCGGAGGUGGAAAGUUUUUCGGCUGAGGAUGGGCCCGCGGCCUAUCAGCUAGUUGGUGGGGUAGUGGCCCACCAAGGCGACGACGGGUAGCCGGCCUGAGAGGGCGACCGGCCGCACUGGGACUGAGACACGGCCCAGACUCCUACGGGAGGCAGCAGUGGGGAAUAUUGCGCAAUGGGCGAAAGCCUGACGCAGCGACGCCGCGUGAGGGACGAAGGCCUUCGGGUUGUAAACCUCUUUCAGCAGGGACGAAGCGAAAGUGACGGUACCUGCAGAAGAAGCACCGGCCAACUACGUG
This 465-nucleotide ribosomal RNA is filed under the name uncultured bacterium. RNAcentral describes it as "partial 16S ribosomal RNA". It matches the Rfam family "Bacterial small subunit ribosomal RNA", at positions 28 to 507 of the family's 1533-position model. The record is from RNAcentral.